GACGCUGGGUCAGGCAACUCAGCCACCAGGCUCUCCAAGAGGAGGAUGGAGAAGAACAUAGACCCAAGAAAGUUCUCCAAGAAAAGGUGAAUCUGCUCCUGCACCUUGGACAGAUCUGCAGCACAGCCUUUCCUGAGAUGUCACUUUCUGCAGCUCAUCUCCUUGCUCCAGGAUUUGAGGGAGGUGCUCUGGACAUGAUUUGGAUAGUGGCAGAACCCAGAAGGAUGAGAAUGCAAACCCGGCCUUGAAAAGAAAAUCCAGAUUUUUUCUAUUGUCAAUUACUUAUGCAAUAUAUGAAUCUUUUUCUGGAGUAAUGUACAGUGAAUUAUACCCAGUUGUGUGCUGGUAGGAGGGAAGAAAUGCUCGUUUUGUACAAUUUGCCACUUCCCAUGAAGUAAAUACACCCACCAAAGGGGAUUCCAAGCCAGUAAGCUAAGGUGACUUCAAGAGGGUUACAAACUUCCUGAAAAUUUAACGGUCAGCUUCCUAGAGCCUCUACUCACUGGCCCCAGAACGCCCACUGCUGUAAUACCUUACUAGUUCACAAACUGAAUCCUGGUAUUCAGAAGCUGUCAUAAAAUAAUAGAUAACAAUCUCCUUAGUGAUAACCUAAUAAAGAAAGAAGAUUAAGGUAAGGAGGUAUGAUUAGCUAAUUUGAAAGUUCUCUCAAUGACUAGACAGCAGUAUUGAAAGUGAUAUUCUAAAAGCUCAUCUAUAAAACUGAUAAUAUUUUUCUGAUUCAUUAAUAACCUUUCUUGUAGUGUUAAUCUGACAAUCAAUUCACCAAAACAGGUAAAUCACAGGGGCUAUGCAAAUGUCAUUGUAAGGAAGGAAAUUGCUAGGAGUAGCCAUAAAUAAGUACAAAAGAUUUCUUUUUAAUCAUGUGCAUUACAUAGUAAGCAGUGUUCUUUAAAUGAAAUAACAGCUAUGACAAAUCUAAAGCAUUGAGAAAAGAUAUCAAGGAGAAACCAAACACCCUUUUAUAUCCAAAUACCGAAAUGUAAAAGUAUAGACAUGGGCUCAUACCAGUGAAAAGAAACACCAAAUUCGCCAUGACUGCAAUAAUAUUUUUCUUUUAAGAUGGAUGUUGGAAUUAUUUUUUAUUGAAAAUAUUUCUACAUUGAAAUUACUUAAGGAAUUUACAGCUUAAAGCAAACAGAAAUGUAAAGAAUUGGUUGGUAAAAAACACCCUUGGUAGUUAUUGAGUACCUGAAUUAUCUGGGGACUAUUAACAAAGAAAGAAGCAUUUCUCAAGUGGUAUCUUGGCUGUCAUGCUAUUUUUAAGUACUGGACAAUGAAAGUAAAAUAUGCAGAGUGCCUGACCUCUAGAGAGAGUUGGCUUACCAAUAGUAAACAGAAGGGAAAUGAUCACGGAAAUAUAUAUAUACCUUGUAUUCUGAGAAAUGUGUAUGAAUAUUUUUGUGCCACAAGCAUUUGUGUGUGCAUAUGUGUAUGUCCUUGUGGCAGUACUAAAGGAAAGUGUUUCUGGUUUAUAUCUUCUCUUUAAGUACAGGAUCAAAGGAAAUCUUUCAUAAGUAGAUGCCUAAUACUCAAAAUUAAGAAGAAUGUUUAUGUGAUAAUAUGUAAGUUAGUAGCCACACAAUAAAUGCUAAUUACUCUGCAUUAAAACCCUAUAUUUUGUGGUGGUAGCUAUGAAAAUAAGAAUAGCAACAAACUUGGCAUAAAAACCUCUGUUCUAGUCCCUGUUUAUUUAUCUGAUAGUUUUAACAUCUCUCUACUCUUAGUUUACUCCCUGACUUCCAAAUUUUUGUAAAUGAACAAAUGGGAUAAUAUACGUGAAAGUAUUUUAUAAACUCCCCCAUAAAUAAACAUAAAUUUUCUUCUUUGGAAACUUCCUAUAGCACUUAUAUCUUCACAAUAUAAUUGUGUUUUUUCCUUCCCAAACCUCAGUUGAAAUGACAUUGGCUUUCUAUUAUUCUACUAUCAUCUCUCACAUAGCUACACAGCUACUUCUUCCUGCUCUGGAAUAUAUGAUUUCUCAACUGAGGGAGAUCCUCUUUGUAACAUACAAAAGUUCAAAAUUUGAGUUUGACAAAGUAUAGUCAGUAAAAUCCAUGAUAUUAAAACUCUGGGUUACUGAAAAUAUUAGUUGUUUGAUUAUAUUUUAAAUCCUUAUUAUUUUACAAACAGAGCUC
Molecule: long non-coding RNA, 2156 nt
Filed under: Homo sapiens (human)
Lineage: Eukaryota; Metazoa; Chordata; Mammalia; Primates; Hominidae
Description: HSALNT0119107
Source: RNAcentral